Molecule: small RNA, 36 nt
Filed under: Arabidopsis thaliana (thale cress)
Lineage: Eukaryota; Viridiplantae; Streptophyta; Magnoliopsida; Brassicales; Brassicaceae
Description: ATSL055810
Source: RNAcentral
UAGAGAGAGAGAGAGAGAGAGAGAGAGAGAGAGACA